GACUACUGGGGUAUCUAAUCCCGUUUGAUCCCCUAGCUUUCGCUUCUCAGCGUCAGGAAUGCCCCAGGUGGCCGCCUUCGCCACGGAUGUUCCUCCAGAUAUCUACGCAUUUCACCACUACACCUGGAAUUCCACCACCCUCUAGCAUCCUCAAGCCCUGCAGUAUCGAACGGCCACUCCGGGUUAAGCCCGGAGAUUUCACGCCCGACUUACAGAACCGCCUACAAGCGCUUUACGCCCAGUAAAUCCGGAUAACGCUCGCGACCUACGUGUUACCGCGGCUGCUGGCACGUAGUUUGCCGUCGCUUAUUCUAGGGAUACCGUCCUUUCUCGUCUCCCUCUAAAGAAGUUUACGACCCGAAGGCCUUCAUCCUCCACGCGGCGUUGCUGGAUCAGGCUUUCGCCCAUUGUCCAAUAUUCCUCACUGCAGCCUCCCGUAGG
RNAcentral lists this ribosomal RNA (441 nucleotides) under uncultured bacterium. RNAcentral describes it as "partial 16S ribosomal RNA". The record is from RNAcentral.